UAGGGAAUAUUGGACAAUGGGGGCAACCCUGAUCCAGCCAUGCCGCGUGAGUGAAGAAGGCCCUCGGGUUGUAAAGCUCUUUUGUCCGGAAAGAAAAGCUUCGGGUUAAUACCCCGGGGUUCUGACGGUACCGGAAGAAUAAGCACCGGCUAACUUCGUGCCAGCAGCCGCGGUAAUACGAAGGGUGCAAGCGUUACUCGGAAUUACUGGGCGUAAAGCGUGCGUAGGUGGUUGUUUAAGUCUGAUGUGAAAGCCCUGGGCUCAGCCUGGGAAUGGCAUUGGAAACUGGGCAGCUAGAGUGCGGUAGAGGGUAGUGGAAUUCCCGGUGUAGCAGUGAAAUGCGUAGAGAUCGGGAGGAACAUCUGUGGCGAAGGCGACUGCCUGGACCAGCACUGACACUGAGGCACGAAAGCGUGGGGAGCAAACA
RNAcentral lists this ribosomal RNA (427 nucleotides) under uncultured bacterium. RNAcentral's name for it is "bacterial SSU rRNA". It matches the Rfam family "Bacterial small subunit ribosomal RNA", at positions 355 to 774 of the family's 1533-position model. The record is from RNAcentral.